Molecule: ribosomal RNA, 561 nt
Filed under: Mitrocomella polydiademata
Lineage: Eukaryota; Metazoa; Cnidaria; Hydrozoa; Leptothecata; Mitrocomidae
Description: partial large subunit ribosomal RNA
Rfam family: Bacterial large subunit ribosomal RNA
Source: RNAcentral
UAGAUAGUAUCUAAGGUGUAACCUGCCCAGUGGUUUCUAAUACAAGAAAUAAAAAUUCUAUAAAGAAACUAAAAGGACGCGGUAACCUUGACCGUGGUAAUGUAGCAUAAUCACUCGCCAUUUAAUUGGUGGAUAGUAUGAAUGGUUGAACGAAUAUUCCGCUGUCUUAGAAAGAAGCACAAGAAAUUGAAAUAAUAGUUAAGAUGCUAUUUUUAACUGUAAGACGAAAAGACCCUAUAGAGCUUAACUAUAAUCUUCUUAUCAUAAAAGAAAAUAAAUUCUAUAUUUAAGAAGAUUGGUAGUUUAGUUGGGGCGACUGUCUUUUAUAACAAACAAAGACAAGCAAUGUUAAUAAAAAACUUAUUGUAUAACUAAAAUGUUUAACAAUUAUAAAAAUAGGCUAUAAUGACCCGUUAUUACUCUAUAAAAAGAAUAACGAUCAAUUAAUAAAAGCUACCUUAGGGAUAACAGGAUAAUUUCAUUUUAGAGUUCCUAUCGAAAAUGAAGUUUGUCACCUCUAUGUUGAAUUAAGAUAUCCUGAUAAUGCAGCAGUUAUCAAAG